Molecule: non-coding RNA, 138 nt
Organism: Triticum aestivum (bread wheat)
Lineage: Eukaryota; Viridiplantae; Streptophyta; Magnoliopsida; Poales; Poaceae
Source: Rfam
CCUCUCGGCGACGACGACAUGGUCUCCUACAUCUCGCAGGGCUUGUUUACGACUACAUGUCGUUUGUCUCCUCGAUCUGUGCCAGAACCGAUCCCAUCAAGGUCAGCGAGCUCUACUCCCAGCUUAUCAGCUUCGAAA